RNAcentral lists this ribosomal RNA (402 nucleotides) under bacterium. Its description in RNAcentral is "partial 16S ribosomal RNA". It matches the Rfam family "Bacterial small subunit ribosomal RNA", at positions 355 to 776 of the family's 1533-position model. The record is from RNAcentral.
UGGGGAAUUUUGCACAAUGGGGGAAACCCUGAUGCAGCGACGCCGCGUGAUUUAGAAGGCCUUCGGGUUGUAAAAAUCUUUUCUAUGGGAAGAAAAUGACAGUACCAUAGGAAUAAGGACCGGCUAAUUACGUGCCAGCAGCCGCGGUAAUACGUAAGGUCCGAGCGUUGUCCGGAAUCAUUGGGCGUAAAGGGUACGUAGGCGGGUAAGCAAGUUAGAAGUGAAAUCCUAUAGCACAACUAUAGUAAGCUUGUAAAACUGCUCAUCUUGAGGUAUGGAAGGGAGAGUGGAAUUCCUAGUGUAGCGGUGAAAUGCGCAGAUAUUAGGAGGAAUACCGGUGGCGAAGGCGACUUUCUGGCCAUAACCUGACGCUGAGGUACGAAAGCGUGGGUAGCAAACAGG